GGCCGCACCCCUCAGUUGUAAAAUGAGGCUAAUGAUAGUGCCUAGCUAGCAGGGGUUUUAUGAGAAUUGGAGGCGCUUACGUUGUAAAAGCACUUAAACCGGUGUCUGACAUAUAAAUUGUUCAGUAUAUUUCUCACCAUUGUAUAUCAUGCUGGUCAUCACAAAUAAGGCUCUCCUACAGCCUUGUAUAGUGGGUUGAGAGAUUACUGUCUCAGUUGCCGACUCCUGCUUUGAACCAGGAUUCUGUCAGUGUCCCCAGAGGUUGUGGAUCAAAUCAAUGUGCCUUUUAGACACAAGCCAAGAGAAGGAAAGGUGUGCUUGAAUUCAUUCACAAACAUUCAUGGUAACGUUUAACUGAAAGACUGAAAGAGAAAACUAACAUCUGUGACCAGUAUGGUUAUUCUCUGGAAUAAGGAAAAACAGAAGCUUCAAGACCCAAACAUAAAAUUGUGUAUAUGUUAAAAAAAAAAAAAAAAAAAAAAGCUGUUUGAGUAACAAAUUUGAAGAAGAAAGCACGCACUCAUUUCCCAAAACCAACCAUGCUUUACCCAGAACUACACUACACGUACAUUCUUUUAUGUGCACAUCUGGCAUUUUCAGCACACUAUGAGCAUGUGGGUGUGUUACAACUUUUCAUUUAAAAAAUGAAUUCCUUGGUCAUUGUCCACUUUUUAAAACUUUUCAUUUGCUCAUAAUUUCAGAUUUACAGAAGAGUUGCAAAGAUAGUUCCUAUAUGCCUUUCACCCAGAUUCCACUAGUGUUAGUAUUUUACAUGACCAUGGUAUAUUUAUCAAAACUAAGAAAAUAACAUGGGUACAAGUACUAUUAACCAAACUGCAGAGUUUAUUCAGACUUAAGCAGUUCUUCCACUAAUGCCCUUUUUCUGUACCAGCAUCCAAUCAAGGAUAUUGUUACCAGGGGUCCUUGCUCCCAGAGCUCCCGAGAUGGUCGUGGGCCGCUUCCAAGAUGGUGGCAAGCCUCAUGUUCUCUGACCUGGGGUUCUUGGCCUUAUGGAUUCCAAGGAAUGGAAUUUGGGCUACACGGGAAACAUGAGACAUCAAUCAACAUAUGUAAAAUGAACAUUCGUUCCGUCCAAAAAGGCGGCAAAAGCGGAACAACUGAAAGCAGGGAGGGUGCUUCCAGGUCAAAGAGAGCAUUCUGCCAGUGGACUGCAUUGUGACUAAGACUGCAACUCUUCCCUGCUGGCCUACCCUGCAGAUUUUUGGAUCAAGGAAGCCUUCAUAUUUAUGUAAACCUUCAGAGAUGUCUACAUUUUUUCCAGGAUCAGCAGAAAAUGAAGAAAUCUUAUGAUGUGACUGUGGGCUUCACCCAGGAGGAGUGGCAGCAUCUGGACCCUGCUCAGACGACCCUGUACAGGGAUGUGAUGCUAGAGAACUACAGCCACCUCGUCUCAGUGGGAUAUUGCGUCCCUAAACCAGAAGUGAUCUUCAAAUUGGAACAAGGAGAGCAGCCAUGGAUAUUAGAGGAAGAGCCCCCAGGCCAGAGAUAACCAGAUCAUCCAGAAGCAAUAAGGAAAAAGAGCAACACAAACUUUAUCUCAUGACAAUAGAGGAUAUCUGAAACCCCAAAUCAAUACAAGUGGAAAUGCUGUCAGAAUCACUGAAAAAUUAAGGAGGGCUAUAUGUACCAGCAGAUGAAAAGAAAUAAAAACAUUUCUGGUGCUUGAAGGAACUGGUAAUAUACUUGAGAGAGACAAAGUACAUACUCUGAGGUGCAAAGCUUAAAUCUCUCUUGGAAUAACAUCAGUGCUGUGCACAGGACAGCUGGAGCUCCUUUGAAUGCAGUUUGGUUCUGUGAAGCUGAUGUAGGGUUACGUAUGGAAACAGACACACAAGUCAUAUUUUUCUGUGACAAUGCAAAAAAUGAGACUUUCCAUUUUAGAAAAAAAUGUUACAGACACCUGUAUGUGGGGAAAUAAACUUACAUGCUAUCUUAGCUUGUAUUCCUAC
This is an RNA transcript of Pongo pygmaeus (Bornean orangutan), 1970 nucleotides long. It is a transcript of the gene named zinc finger protein 37A-like, with no coding region annotated. The transcript is spliced from 7 exons. Lineage: Eukaryota; Metazoa; Chordata; Mammalia; Primates; Hominidae. The record is from RefSeq and is a predicted model, not a curated record.